CCUGGCUCAGGAUGAACGCUAGCUACAGGCUUAACACAUGCAAGUCGAGGGGCAGCAUGGUCUUAGCUUGCUAAGGCCGAUGGCGACCGGCGCACGGGUGAGUAACACGUAUCCAACCUGCCGUCUACUCUUGGACAGCCUUCUGAAAGGAAGAUUAAUACAAGAUGGCAUCAUGAGUCCGCAUGUUCACAUGAUUAAAGGUAUUCCGGUAGACGAUGGGGAUGCGUUCCAUUAGAUAGUAGGCGGGGUAACGGCCCACCUAGUCUUCGAUGGAUAGGGGUUCUGAGAGGAAGGUCCCCCACAUUGGAACUGAGACACGGUCCAAACUCCUACGGGAGGCAGCAGUGAGGAAUAUUGGUCAAUGGGCGAGAGCCUGAACCAGCCAAGUAGCGUGAAGGAUGACUGCCCUAUGGGUUGUAAACUUCUUUUAUAAAGGAAUAAAGUCGGGUAUGGAUACCCGUUUGCAUGUACUUUAUGAAUAAGGAUCGGCUAACUCCGUGCCAGCAGCCGCGGUAAUACGGAGGAUCCGAGCGUUAUCCGGAUUUAUUGGGUUUAAAGGGAGCGUAGAUGGAUGUUUAAGUCAGUUGUGAAAGUUUGCGGCUCAACCGUAAAAUUGCAGUUGAUACUGGAUAUCUUGAGUGCAGUUGAGGCAGGCGGAAUUCGUGGUGUAGCGGUGAAAUGCUUAGAUAUCACGAAGAACUCCGAUUGCGAAGGCAGCCUGCUAAGCUGCAACUGACAUUGAAGCUCGAAAGUGUGGGUAUCAAACAGGAUUAGAUACCCUGGUAGUCCACACGGUAAACGAUGAAUACUCGCUGUUUGCGAUAUACUGCAAGCGGCCAAGCGAAAGCGUUAAGUAUUCCACCUGGGGAGUACGCCGGCAACGGUGAAACUCAAAGGAAUUGACGGGGGCCCGCACAAGCGGAGGAACAUGUGGUUUAAUUCGAUGAUACGCGAGGAACCUUACCCGGGCUUAAAUUGCAGAUGAAUUACGGUGAAAGCCGUAAGCCGCAAGGCAUCUGUGAAGGUGCUGCAUGGUUGUCGUCAGCUCGUGCCGUGAGGUGUCGGCUUAAGUGCCAUAACGAGCGCAACCCUUGUUGUCAGUUACUAACAGGUUCCGCUGAGGACUCUGACAAGACUGCCAUCGUAAGAUGUGAGGAAGGUGGGGAUGACGUCAAAUCAGCACGGCCCUUACGUCCGGGGCUACACACGUGUUACAAUGGGGGGUACAGAGGGCCGCUACCACGCGAGUGGAUGCCAAUCCCCAAAACCUCUCUCAGUUCGGACUGGAGUCUGCAACCCGACUCCACGAAGCUGGAUUCGCUAGUAAUCGCGCAUCAGCCACGGCGCGGUGAAUACGUUCCCGGGCCUUGUACACACCGCC
Molecule: ribosomal RNA, 1381 nt
Filed under: uncultured bacterium
Lineage: Bacteria
Description: bacterial SSU rRNA
Rfam family: Bacterial small subunit ribosomal RNA
Source: RNAcentral